GACGAACGCUGGCGGCGUGCUUAACACAUGCAAGUCGAACGGAGAGGCCCUGCUUUUGUGGGGUGCUCGAGUGGCGAACGGGUGAGUAACACGUGAGUAACCUGCCCUUGACUUUGGGAUAACUUCAGGAAACUGGGGCUAAUACCGGAUAGGAGCUCCUGCUGCAUGGUGGGGGUUGGAAAGUUUCGGUGGUUGGGGAUGGACUCGCGGCUUAUCAGCUUGUUGGUGGGGUAGUGGCUUACCAAGGCUUUGACGGGUAGCCGGCCUGAGAGGGUGACCGGCCACAUUGGGACUGAGAUACGGCCCAGACUCCUACGGGAGGCAGCAGUGGGGAAUAUUGCACAAUGGGCGGAAGCCUGAUGCAGCAACGCCGCGUGCGGGAUGACGGCCUUCGGGUUGUAAACCGCUUUCGCCUGUGACGAAGCGUGAGUGACGGUAAUGGGUAAAGAAGCACCGGCUAACUACGUG
This 468-nucleotide ribosomal RNA is filed under the name uncultured bacterium. Its description in RNAcentral is "partial 16S ribosomal RNA". It matches the Rfam family "Bacterial small subunit ribosomal RNA", at positions 28 to 507 of the family's 1533-position model. The record is from RNAcentral.